AUCCGGGUUGCGGACAGUGUCUGGUGGGUAGUUUGACUGGGGCGGUCUCCUCCUAAAGAGUAACGGAGGAGCACGAAGGUUAGCUAAUCCUGGUCGGACAUCAGGAGGUUAGUGCAAAGGCAUAAGCUAGCUUGACUGCGAGAGUGACGGCUCGAGCAGGUGCGAAAGCAGGUCUUAGUGAUCCGGUGGUUCUGAAUGGAAGGGCCAUCGCUCAACGGAUAAAAGGUACUCCGGGGAUAACAGGCUGAUACCGCCCAAGAGUUCAUAUCGACGGCGGUGUUUGGCACCUCGAUGUCGGCUCAUCACAUCCUGGGGCUGAAGUAGGUCCCAAGGGUAUGGCUGUUCGCCAUUUAAAGUGGUACGCGAGCUGGGUUUAGAACGUCGUGAGACAGUUCGGUCCCUAUCUGCCGUGGGCGCUGGAGAAUUGAGGGGGGCUGCUCCUAGUACGAGAGGACCGGAGUGGACGCAUCACUGGUGUUCGGGUUGUCAUGCCAAUGGCAUUGCCCGGUAGCUAAAUGCGGAAGAGAUAAGUGCUGAAAGCAUCUAAGCACGAAACUUGCCCCGAGAUGAGUUCUCCCUGACUCCUUGAGAGUCCUGAAGGAACGUUGAAGACGACGACGUUGAUAGGUCGGGUGUGUAAGUGUAGCGAUACAUUGAGCUAACCGAUACUAAUGAACCGUGAGGCUUAACCUUACAACGCCGAAG
This 705-nucleotide ribosomal RNA is filed under the name Citrobacter portucalensis. RNAcentral's name for it is "partial 23S ribosomal RNA". It matches the Rfam family "Bacterial large subunit ribosomal RNA", at positions 2238 to 2925 of the family's 2925-position model. The record is from RNAcentral. Lineage: Bacteria; Pseudomonadati; Pseudomonadota; Gammaproteobacteria; Enterobacterales; Enterobacteriaceae.